This 774-nucleotide ribosomal RNA is filed under the name uncultured Neocallimastigales. Its description in RNAcentral is "partial large subunit ribosomal RNA". It matches the Rfam family "Eukaryotic large subunit ribosomal RNA", at positions 22 to 646 of the family's 3401-position model. The record is from RNAcentral. Lineage: Eukaryota; Fungi; Neocallimastigomycota; Neocallimastigomycetes; Neocallimastigales.
GUACACGCUGUGACUAGCAUAUCAAUAAGCGGAGGAAAAGAAACUAACAAGGAUUCCCCUAGUAACGGCGAGUGAAGCGGGAAGAGCUCAAAUUUGAAAUCUUAAAGGGUUUCCCUUUACGAAUUGUAGUUUAAAGAAGUGUUUUCUGUUGAGGUUUUGGUAAAAGUUCUUUGGAAUAGGACAUCAUAGAGGGUGAGAAUCCCGUAUUUGACCUUUACUUUCAACUUUGUGAUACACUUUCAAAGAGUCGGAUUGUUCGGGAAUGCAGUCCAAAAUGGGUGGUAAAUUUCAUCUAAAGCUAAAUAUUGGCGAGAGACCGAUAGCGAACAAGUACCGUGAGGGAAAGAUGAAAAGAACUUUGAAAAGAGAGUUAAACAGUACGUGAAAUUGUCAAAAGGGAAGCGUUUGACACCAGUGUUGUUUUUCUGAAAAUCAAUUAAAGAACUGUUUAUGCUAAGUUGUUUAGACUUUAUCAGCUAACUGUUUAGUUUUGAGCUUUUCUUUAAUGCACUUUUCAGUUAACAAGUCAACAUCAAUUUCUUUUGCUGUAAAAAAGCUUGAGGAAGGUGGCUUGAGAUUCGUCUUAAGUGUUUAUAGCCUCUUGCCUAUGCAGUCGGAGAGAUUGAGGUCUGCAGCGUAGAUCCUUCGGGGCUAAAUGCAUUUGUGCUAAGUUAUAGCAUUUCAUAGACAACUUGUUGACUAUGAUUUGUCUUGUAGCUUACUCGCUUAUGUUAUUUUACCUACGCUUAGGAUGUUGACGAGACUGUCGAUCUC